Potamilus streckersoni is the source of this 70-nucleotide non-coding RNA. NCBI's taxonomy places the organism in Eukaryota, Metazoa, Mollusca, Bivalvia, Unionida, Unionidae. The record is from the annotation of a GenBank genome assembly.
AAAGUGGUCUAGUGGUUAGUGCGUUCGUCUCGAAUUUGGGAGGUCGUGGGUUUGAUCCCCGGCUGAGUCA